UACGGGGGGGGCAAGCGUUGUUCGGAAUUACUGGGCGUAAAGGGCGCGUAGGCGGUGCUCUAAGUUAGAUGUGAAAACUCUGGGCUCAACCCAGAGCCUGCAUCUAAAACUGGAGUGCUAGAGUUCUGGAGGGGGUAGCGGAAUUCCUGGUGUAGCGGUGAAAUGCGUAGAUAUCAGGAGGAACACCGGUGGCGAAGGCGGCUACCUAGACAGAAACUGACGCUGAGGCGCGAAAGCUAGGGGAGCAAACAGG
RNAcentral lists this ribosomal RNA (253 nucleotides) under uncultured bacterium. RNAcentral's name for it is "partial 16S ribosomal RNA". It matches the Rfam family "Bacterial small subunit ribosomal RNA", at positions 524 to 776 of the family's 1533-position model. The record is from RNAcentral.